GUGCUUACUUCAGGAACACAUAUGCUCAAAUUGGAAUGCUGCAGAGAAGAUUAGCAUGACUACUGUACAAGGAUGACAUGCAAAAUUCAUGAAGCGUUCCGUAUGUUU
This is a small nuclear RNA of Nycticebus coucang (slow loris), 108 nucleotides long. Lineage: Eukaryota; Metazoa; Chordata; Mammalia; Primates; Lorisidae. The record is from RefSeq and is a predicted model, not a curated record.